Aquila chrysaetos chrysaetos is the source of this 2057-nucleotide long non-coding RNA. RefSeq lists it as uncharacterized. The transcript is spliced from 4 exons. NCBI's taxonomy places the organism in Eukaryota, Metazoa, Chordata, Aves, Accipitriformes, Accipitridae. The record is from RefSeq and is a predicted model, not a curated record.
ACCUUUCAUGUGUUGGUUAGUUAAACGUCAGAGUAGCGUACACUUUAUGGUGCAGGUAUUACCGCUGAAGGGUAAGGACAGACCGAUACAGAAGCACGCAGGGAAGGAAUUUACUUAAAAAGACACUAUGAUAAUUUUGCGAAAGAGGAAAAGUACCGCUUACUCUAUUUCCAUUAUUUUUCUUAAUAUCUGUUUCAAGUUGACUUGAGCACUGUUCCCAAAGGUCUUGGUUUUUUCCUCUGGCAGAAGUAGAGCUGCUUUUUCUAAAGUAUUGUCUGGUUUCCCUGAAGGUUCUCUUCUGACUCUGAUUGCUUUUAAAUGUCACUCUGCUGCUUAAGGCUACUAGUAGGUGGUCUGAGCUGAAUGUUUACUAUUAUAUGGCUUAUACCUAUACUUAUUUUCCAUGUCAGAUCCUGACCUAGUAACCUUCUUUCAAAAUGCCGAAGGUGAAAUUAAGUUUUAAAUGACUUGGUUGUCUAGGCAGAAUCACUAUUAAUCAGAACAGGAAAAUAAUAUUGGGAAGUGAACUUCCUUUGAUAGCAGUUUAAUACAUCAUAUAUUUUGGCAGACAAUUUCAUCUGAGCCUUAGGAUCACCUUGAAACUGGGGAUGUUUUUUGGCAAAACACAUUGCUGUCAUUGCAAUUUUCCGUAGUUUUUAGAAUUUUUAUCUGUUGCAGUUUUUGUUAUGACUUCAUUUUGAGGCCGUGUUGGUUUUUAGCCACCAUCUCAGCCAAUUCAUUUUAGCAAAUGAAUAUUUUUAGUAAAUACUGUGAAGACAGCGGGAGUUCUAAAAUAGUGAAAAUAAACAUUUAACUCGUGUACCUAAACUAGUGAUUCACUGAAAGCUUUAUUUACAUUUUCAUUUGCCUAUAAACUGAUGCUGGUUGCACAGAAAAAUUGUUUUGCCCUGUUUACACACAUACGAUUUGGGACUAAUACCUUGCAUUAUUAUCUUCACAUAAACAGGUUUAAUAGUUCAGCAUGCUUCUGAAUAAUGAAGAUAGUGAUUGCUGCAUACAAUUUCAUGCAGGCAGUGUGCAUGUAAUGAAAGGUCUCAAAACAUUCUAAAAGCUGAAGCCUCAAUUUUGAAAUGAUCCACAUAGAAACCAACUCCCGUUCUCUCUUGGGUUCUUGUGAAAUAAACAGGCCACCUUCCAGCCUCUUCCCCUCUCAUGCCUUCUCCCUCAGGCAAAGCGUCUCUUCUGUCUAGCAACCUCUGGAGACGUUUGUUACGGUAACAGAAUAGUCCAGGUCACGUCUAUCUACUGACAAAAGAAUAAUCAGCGCUGUUGGCAAAAAUCCUGUUCUUUCAUCUAUUCAUUUUGCCCAGUUUAGGUUUUGCUUGAACACGUUAUUGUGAAGAUGCUGUCUUGACAGCUCCUUAGACUGAAGUCCUCUUCAUCCACAGAAGUGGUACAGCAAAAGUAAUCAAGAUGAAAGGUGAGGAUUUUGCCUUUCCUGGCGUGCACUGUCCACCUGGAUUCUGACCUGGAAGGACUUCCUCGACUUGCAACACUGGUUAGGCAGAGCCAGGUCAAAGAGUUUCAGCACAUUUGAACUCUGACUCCCAAAGGAUGAGGACAAAAUAACGAGCACUGUCCUAUCAGUAAAGGUAUCUCGUGACUCCAUCGCUCUCACCACCACAGCUGACGCACCUGAGAAAUAUAUUCGCAGGGAACAAAAAUUCAGACCUCAGCUUAGGACGGGGCAAGGGACAACCUGUAAGGUCUGCAGUGAAGACUUAGCUCUCGGCAGUGACCCUGCCACUGGGAAAACCUCAGCACUGGGAACCAAUUGCCUGCGCUGGCUCUCAUAUUCAGAUCUCUGUCGCUAUGCUGGAACUGGUCAGUGCUUGUCAAUUAAUGGCAACAAGGUAAUUCCCUUAAAUUCUUGAAAAUAUUUUGACACGUGCAGUUUUUGUAAUUUUUCAGUUUCUUUUCCAAAAGUAGUUAUGGUCCCAAUCCUACAAAUUGUUUUCUUCUGAAUAAAACUCUGAAUUGUGAAAUAAAUUUCUGAAACCAUUGAAGCAUCUGCAGUAUGGAAAAUUUGGCUGGGA